This 690-nucleotide ribosomal RNA is filed under the name Microsporidium sp. PCN12. RNAcentral's name for it is "SSU rRNA". It matches the Rfam family "Microsporidia small subunit ribosomal RNA", at positions 90 to 732 of the family's 1311-position model. The record is from RNAcentral. Lineage: Eukaryota; Fungi; Microsporidia.
AGUAACAGGCGAUUAAUUUAAUCUUUACAAACGGCACAAACUCAGGAAACGGAGUGUAAUACGUAAAAGACGAAUUUUUAAAUAAAAAGAAAACGUUUUUGGCUUGAAUAAAGCGGUAAAGAAUAAGACGCCAACCCAUCAGUUAGUAAGUAGGGUAAGGGCCUAUUUAGACGAAUACGGGUACGGGGAAUUAGGGUUUGAUUCCGGAGAGGGAGCCUGAGAGACGGCUACCAGGUCCAAGGACGGCAGCAGGCGCGAAAAUUACCGAAGCUCAAAUAGAGGCGGUAGUAAUGAGACGUAAAAAAAUAAUAUAAGGGUAAAAAACUUAUUAAUAACUGGAGGUCAAGUCUGGUGCCAGCAUCCGCGGUAAUACCAGCUCCAGGGGUGUCUAUGAUGAUUGCUGCGAUUAAAAGGUCCGUAGUCGAAUUUAGAUAAUUGUUUGUAAUAUGUUAGAUAAAAUAAUAAAAAGAACAAUUAGUUAAAUGAAAGGAAUAGCAAGAGGUUGAUUAAUCGAGUAACGAGAGGUGAAAUUUGAUGACUUACUUGGGAGAACAGAGGCGAAAGCGUCAAUCAAGUGUAAAUCCGAUGAUCAAGGACGUAGGCUGGAGUAUCGAACACGAUUAGAUACCGUAGUAGUUCCAGCAGUAAACUAUGCCUACGCCAUUGAAUAAAAGUUUGGUGGACUAUAAU